This is a long non-coding RNA of Salvia splendens (bonfire salvia), 928 nucleotides long. RefSeq lists it as uncharacterized. Lineage: Eukaryota; Viridiplantae; Streptophyta; Magnoliopsida; Lamiales; Lamiaceae. The transcript has 2 exons. The record is from RefSeq and is a predicted model, not a curated record.
UCCUCCCUCCUUCACGCCCCAAACUUCCUCUCUCUAUCUCUCUAAUUCUCUUCGCCCAAAACGGGCAGUUCCAGGAUCUCCGUCGCCGUCUCCAAUUCCGCCAGAGCCGUCGGCCAUCUUCAGCGUCCAGCCACCGCCGCCAAUCCGCCGGAUGAGCUGCUGCUGUCUUGCCGGGAGGACGGUGCUGUCGCCGCUGCACAGAGUCGUCGCUGCAGUUCACCGCUGCUCCGUCUGCACAGAGCCGUCGGCUGCUGUUCGCCGCUGCUCCGUCGGUGGUCGUGCAGCCCCGAAACAUCACUACAACCCCCGAUUUGUCCAAAAACCAACCCGAACAGCCCCGAAACCAAUUCGAUUUCAACCGAACAGAUCGGUUCUCAUUCAAAAAGCCUACCCAGCCGACGAGUUGAUCAACUGGAGUUUACCACAUGAAGUGAUGAGUCAGAGGAGAGAGAAGAAAAUAUGCCAUCUCAAGGGCAUAAAUGUCAAGAUAUGAUGGGCUUACCCUAGGGAUUUGGGCCCAACAUCAUCCUAUAAAUAUGGAGAGAGUGCACAUAAGAAGAGAGUUCAACACCAUCAUCACCUUUGGUCACCUCAUUUUCACCUCACAGCAUGGAGUAAGGAGUUAGCAGCAGAAGUCGCUGGUUCCACCUCUGUUUUCAUCUCUUCUUCCUCGUCAAGGAAGGAGGGACCUGGAUCUGCGUAGAAGUCUUCGUCGUUGGAGUUUUUGUUGCACCCCGAGGGGUUAAAACAAUUUCUAUUAUGUUUUUAGUUCAUCCUUUCUGUAGCUUAGUUGUUUAUAAUGUUUUUCGUGUAGUUGCUACUCUAGUUACCUUUCCGUUGUUGAUCACUCUUUAAAUUUUCGUUGGAAAUUCUGUUUUAGUUACGUUUGUUGAAGAUCUUUUAUGAAAUGGAGUUUUUGAUUCAAGUU